AGCGAACGCUGGCGGCAGGCCUAACACAUGCAAGUCGAACGAACCUUUCGGGGUUAGUGGCGGACGGGUGAGUAACACGUGGGAACGUGCCUUUAGGUUCGGAAUAACUCAGGGAAACUUGUGCUAAUACCGAAUGUGCCCUUCGGGGGAAAGAUUUAUCGCCUUUAGAGCGGCCCGCGUCUGAUUAGCUAGUUGGUUGAGGUAAUGGCUCACCAAGGCGACGAUCAGUAGCUGGUCUGAGAGGAUGAUCAGCCACAUUGGGAGUGAGACACGGCCCAAACUCCUACGGGAGGCAGCAGUGGGGAAUCUUGCGCAAUGGGCGAAAGCCUGACGCAGCCAUGCCGCGUGAAUGAUGAAGGUCUUAGGAUUGUAAAAUUCUUUCACCGGGGACGAUAAUGACGGUACCCGGAGAAGAAGCCCCGGCUAACUUCGUG
RNAcentral lists this ribosomal RNA (434 nucleotides) under uncultured bacterium. RNAcentral describes it as "partial 16S ribosomal RNA". It matches the Rfam family "Bacterial small subunit ribosomal RNA", at positions 29 to 507 of the family's 1533-position model. The record is from RNAcentral.